RNAcentral lists this ribosomal RNA (253 nucleotides) under uncultured bacterium. RNAcentral's name for it is "partial 16S ribosomal RNA". It matches the Rfam family "Bacterial small subunit ribosomal RNA", at positions 524 to 776 of the family's 1533-position model. The record is from RNAcentral.
UACGAAGGGGGCUAGCGUUGUUCGGAAUCACUGGGCGUAAAGGGCGCGUAGGCGGCCGAUCAAGUCGGGGGUGAAAGCCUGUGGCUUAACCACAGAAUGGCCUUCGAUACUGUUUGGCUUGAGACCGGAAGAGGUUAGUGGAACUGCGAGUGUAGAGGUGAAAUUCGUAGAUAUUCGCAAGAACACCAGUGGCGAAGGCGGCUGACUGGUCCGGUUCUGACGCUGAGGCGCGAUAGCGUGGGGAUCAAACAGG